This 460-nucleotide ribosomal RNA is filed under the name uncultured bacterium. RNAcentral's name for it is "partial 16S ribosomal RNA". It matches the Rfam family "Bacterial small subunit ribosomal RNA", at positions 338 to 795 of the family's 1533-position model. The record is from RNAcentral.
CCUACGGGGGGCAGCAGUGAGGAAUAUUGGUCAAUGGGCGCAAGCCUGAACCAACCAAGUCGCGUGAGGGAUGACGGUCCUAUGGAUUGUAAACCUCUUUUGUCGGGGAGCAAGGCCCGCCACGUGUGGCGGGAAGGAGAGUACCCGAAGAAAAAGCAUCGGCUAACUCCGUGCCAGCAGCCGCGGUAAUACGGAGGAUGCGAGCGUUAUCCGGAUUUAUUGGGUUUAAAGGGUGCGUAGGCGGAAGGUUAAGUCAGCGGUCAAAUGUCGGUGCUCAACACCGGCCUGCCGUUGAAACUGGUCGUCUUGAGUGAGCGAGAAGUAUGCGGAAUGCGUGGUGUAGCGGUGAAAUGCAUAGAUAUCACGCAGAACUCCGAUUGCGAAGGCAGCAUACCGGCGCUCAACUGACGCUGAGGCACGAAAGCGUGGGGAUCGAACAGGAUUAGAUACCCUUGUAGUC